This 492-nucleotide ribosomal RNA is filed under the name uncultured bacterium. Its description in RNAcentral is "partial 16S ribosomal RNA". It matches the Rfam family "Bacterial small subunit ribosomal RNA", at positions 28 to 507 of the family's 1533-position model. The record is from RNAcentral.
GAUGAACACUAGCUACAGGCUUAACACAUGCAAGUCGAGGGGAAACGACAUCGAAAGCUUGCUUUUGAUGGGCGUCGACCGGCGCACGGGGGAGUAACGCGUAUCCAACCUGCCCAUCACUUGGGAAUAACCUUGCGAAAGUAAGACUAAUACCCAAUGAUAUCCCACGAAGGCAUCGGAAUGGGAUUAAAGAUUUAUCGGUGAUGGAUGGGGAUGCGUCUGAUUAGCUUGUUGGCGGGGUAACGGCCCACCAAGGCAACGAUCAGUAGGGGUUCUGAGAGGAAGGUCCCCCACAUUGGAACUGAGACACGGUCCAAACUCCUACGGGAGGCAGCAGUGAGGAAUAUUGGUCAAUGGGCGAGAGCCUGAACCAGCCAAGUAGCGUGCAGGAAGACGGCCCUAUGGGUUGUAAACUGCUUUUAUAAGGGAAUAAAGUGGGUCACGUGUGACUUUUUGCAUGUACCUUAUGAAUAAGGACCGGCUAAUUCCGUG